This 253-nucleotide ribosomal RNA is filed under the name uncultured bacterium. RNAcentral describes it as "partial 16S ribosomal RNA". It matches the Rfam family "Bacterial small subunit ribosomal RNA", at positions 524 to 776 of the family's 1533-position model. The record is from RNAcentral.
GACGAACCUGACGAACGUUAUUCGGAAUCACUGGGCUUAAAGGGUGCGUAGGCUGUGCAGAAAGUUGGGUGUGAAAUCCCUCGGCUUAACCGAGGAACUGCGCCCAAAACUACUGUGCUCGAGUGAGAUAGAGGUGAGCGGAACUUAGGGUGGAGCGGUGAAAUGCGUUGAUAUCCUAAGGAACACCGGUGGCGAAAGCGGCUCACUGGGUCUCAACUGACGCUGAUGCACGAAAGCUAGGGGAGCGAACGGG